RNAcentral lists this transfer RNA (73 nucleotides) under Treponema sp. RNAcentral's name for it is "tRNA-Pro". It matches the Rfam family "tRNA". Rfam says of the family: Transfer RNA (tRNA) molecules are approximately 80 nucleotides in length. Their secondary structure includes four short double-helical elements and three loops (D, anti-codon, and T loops). The record is from RNAcentral. Lineage: Bacteria; Pseudomonadati; Spirochaetota; Spirochaetia; Treponematales; Treponemataceae.
CGGGGGGUAGGAUAGCGGCUAUUCCGCCUGGUUUGGGACCAGGAUGUCGGGAGUUCGAAUCUCCCCUUCCCGA